RNAcentral lists this ribosomal RNA (508 nucleotides) under uncultured bacterium. RNAcentral's name for it is "bacterial SSU rRNA". It matches the Rfam family "Bacterial small subunit ribosomal RNA", at positions 15 to 518 of the family's 1533-position model. The record is from RNAcentral.
GAUCAUGGCUCAGGAUGAACGCUAGCGGCAGGCUUAACACAUGCAAGUCGAGGGGCAUCGGGAGUAGCAAUACUUGCCGGCGACCGGCGCAAGGGUGCGUAACGCGUGAGCAACAUGCCCGUAUCAGGGGGAUAAUCCAUGGAAACGUGGUCUAAUACCCCAUAGUAAUUAUGUAAGGCAUCUUAUAUAAUUUAAAGCUUUGGUGGAUACGGAUUGGCUCGCGUGACAUUAGCUGGAUGGUAAGGUAACGGCUUACCAUGGCUACGAUGUCUAGGGGUUCUGAGAGGAAGGUCCCCCACACUGGAACUGAGACACGGUCCAGACUCCUACGGGAGGCAGCAGUGAGGAAUAUUGGACAAUGGAUGGAAAUCUGAUCCAGCCAUGCCGCGUGCAGGAAGACGGCCCUAUGGGUUGUAAACUGCUUUUGUAUGGGAGCAAUAAGGGCUACGUGUAGUCCGAUGAGAGUACCAUACGAAUAAGCACCGGCUAACUCCGUGCCAGCCGCCGC